RNAcentral lists this ribosomal RNA (497 nucleotides) under uncultured bacterium. Its description in RNAcentral is "partial 16S ribosomal RNA". It matches the Rfam family "Bacterial small subunit ribosomal RNA", at positions 28 to 507 of the family's 1533-position model. The record is from RNAcentral.
GAUGAACGCUGGCGGCGUGCCUAAUACAUGCAAGUCGAACGAACGGACGAGAAGCUUGCUUCUCUGAUGUUAGCGGCGGACGGGUGAGUCACACGUGUAUAACCUACCUCUCAGACUGGGAUAAUUUCGGGAAACCGGAUCUUAUACCCGAUGAUAUUUUGAACCGCAUUGGUCAAACGUGAGAUACGGUCUUUCUGUCACUUAUAGAUGGAUACGCGCUGCAUUAGCUGGUUGGUAAGGUAACGGCUUACCAAGGCAACGAUGCAUAGCCGACCGGAGAGGGGGAUAGGCCACAUUGGAACUGAGACAGGGACCAGGGUCCUGAGGGAGGCAGCAGAAGGGAAUCGUCCGCAAUGGGGGAAAGUCUGGCGGAGCGAGGCCGCGUGAGUUAUGAAGGUGUUCGGAUCGUAAAACUCUGUUAUUAGGGAAGAACAUAUGUGUAAGGAACUGUGCACAUCGUGACGGUACCUAAUAAGAAAGCCACGGCUAACUACGUG